GUCUUCUUUCUCCUCCUCCCUUCGGCCCCGAGUGCCCCCUCGGGACGAGCCUCUGGAGCGGGAUCUUCGAUCGGGGGGCUCCUUGAAAAGGCUCGGGGGACUUCAGGUUCGAUGUCAGAAGGGACAUCGAUGGCAACGACCACCUGAGCAGGCGCGGUCGAGCUUGUCCCUUCUGUCCUGGCUUUCUUCACCGACCCCGAAGUCGAGGCAUCUUUUCUCUUGUGGGUCUUGAGAUC
RNAcentral lists this long non-coding RNA (236 nucleotides) under Elaeis guineensis (African oil palm). RNAcentral describes it as "long non-coding RNA (EGUI_LNC067111)". The record is from RNAcentral. Lineage: Eukaryota; Viridiplantae; Streptophyta; Magnoliopsida; Arecales; Arecaceae.